AUAAAGUCUAACCUGCCCACUGAAUAUAGUUUAAAGGGCCGCAGUAUUUUGACUGUGCAAAGGUAGCAUAAUCAUUAGUCUUUUAAUUGAAGGCUGGUAUGAAUGGUUGGAUGAGGUACAAGCUGUGUCAUAAAAAUUAAAAUUUGAAUUUACCUUUUUAGUCAAAAGGCUAAAAUAUUUUUAAAAGACGAGAAGACCCUAUAGAGCUUUAUAUAACUAAUAUUUAAAUUAUUAAGAUUUUUAAAAUUAAAUUAUCUUUUUAUAUUUUGUUGGGGUGACAAUAAAAUUAAUAAAACUUUUAUUUUUAUUAAACAUUAAUUUAUGAAUAAAUGAUCCAGUUUUAUUGAUUAUAAAAUUAAGUUACCUUAGGGAUAACAGCGUAAUUUUUUUUGAGAGUUCUUAUCGACAAAAAAGAUUGCGACCUCGAUGUUGGAUUAAGAGUAAUUUUGGGUGUAGAAGUUCAAAGUUUAAGUC
RNAcentral lists this ribosomal RNA (474 nucleotides) under Simulium vorax. Its description in RNAcentral is "partial 16S ribosomal RNA". It matches the Rfam family "Bacterial large subunit ribosomal RNA", at positions 1845 to 2577 of the family's 2925-position model. The record is from RNAcentral. Lineage: Eukaryota; Metazoa; Arthropoda; Insecta; Diptera; Simuliidae.